GCAAGUCGAACGAAGUACCCGUACCGGAGUUUUCGGACGAAGGAACGGACUACUUAGUGGCGGACGGGUGAGUAACGCGUGAGCAAUCUACCUUGUAGAGGGGGAUAACACAGGGAAACUUGUGCUAAUACCGCAUAAUGUAUCAUGGAGACAUCUCUGAGAUACCAAAGGAGUAGUCCACUAUAAGAUGAGCUCGCGUCCGAUUAGCCAGUUGGUGAGGUAACGGCCCACCAAAGCAACGAUCGGUAGCCGGACUGAGAGGUCGGCCGGCCACAUUGGGACUGAGACACGGCCCAGACUCCUACGGGAGGCAGCAGUGGGGAAUAUUGCACAAUGGAGGAAACUCUGAUGCAGCAACGCCGCGUGGAGGAAGAAGGUUCUCGGAUUGUAAACUCCUGUCAUACGGGAAGAAAAUGAUGGUACCGUAAGAGGAAGCCACGGCUAACUACGUGCCAGCAGCCGCGGUAAUACGUAGGUGGCGAGCGUUGUCCGGAUUUACUGGGUGUAAAGGGCGUGUAGGCGGAUAAGCAAGUCAGGUGUGAAAUACCACGGCUCAACUGUGGGGCUGCACUUGAAACUGCAUAUCUUGAGUGAGGUAGAGGCAAUCGGAAUUCCCGGUGUAGCGGUGAAAUGCAUAGAUAUCGGGAGGAACACCAGUGGCGAAGGCGGAUUGCUGGGCCUUAACUGACGCUGGGGCGCGAAAGCGUGGGUAGCAAACAGGAUUAGAUACCCUGGUAGUCCACGCCGUAAACGAUGGAUACUAGGUGUGGGAGGUAUCGACCCCUCCCGUGCCGCAGUUAACACAAUAAGUAUCCCACCUGGGGAGUACGACCGCAAGGUUGCAACUCAAAGGAAUUGACGGAA
Molecule: ribosomal RNA, 864 nt
Filed under: uncultured bacterium
Lineage: Bacteria
Description: bacterial SSU rRNA
Rfam family: Bacterial small subunit ribosomal RNA
Source: RNAcentral